Molecule: ribosomal RNA, 254 nt
Filed under: uncultured bacterium
Lineage: Bacteria
Description: partial 16S ribosomal RNA
Rfam family: Bacterial small subunit ribosomal RNA
Source: RNAcentral
CACGUAGGGUGCGAGCGUUGUCCGGAAUUAUUGGGCGUAAAGAGCUCGUAGGCGGUUGGGUAAGUCGGGUGUGAAAACUCAGGGCUCAACUCUGAGACGCCACUCGAUACUGCCCUGACUCGAGUCCGGUAGGGGAGCGUGGAAUUCCCGGUGUAGCGGUGAAAUGCGCAGAUAUCGGGAGGAACACCAGUGGCGAAGGCGGCGCUCUGGGCCGGAACUGACGCUGAGGAGCGAAAGCGUGGGUAGCAAACAGG